GGCCUAAUGGUCAAGUGGUUAUGACAUAAUGCUUUCACCAUUUGAAGCGGGGGUUCGAUUCCCCCUUGGGCUA
Molecule: non-coding RNA, 73 nt
Organism: Lasallia pustulata
Lineage: Eukaryota; Fungi; Ascomycota; Lecanoromycetes; Umbilicariales; Umbilicariaceae
Source: Rfam